CCUCUGCCGCCCGCGCACCUCCCCAAACCAGAUCGACACGCCGUCGUCGCCGCCCCUUCCUCCCCCAGCCCCGACCACCCCCCUUCGGCCACCCCCACCCGCUCCUUCCUUCCUCCCUCGGGGCGCUCGAAGAUCCCGUGCUCGCUGCGCCUCCUCUACUCCAACCUUCUCCGAUUGGAGCUAAAUCAAAUGGCCGGAAAUCCCUCCCCACCGCGCCGCCCCCACCCUCUCCUCGUCCCCUCCCCUCAUCACAAGAUAAGAGAAGAGAAGAGGGAGAUCGAUCAAUCGAGCGAGCGAGCAGGUCAGGAGGCGGCCCAGAUUCGCAGUGGCCGCCCAUGACCUCGACGGAGGUCGGCUCAAUCGCUCGCCCGCGCGCCGGGACAAGUCCUCCGACGAUGUGGUCAUCAAGGGCCUCAAGGCAACCCUGCUUCCCCCCAUCUGCUUCUGCUCUGCUGUGCUCGUCCGUGCGGCCGCCAAGGGCAACCCAUGCAUGGAGCUUCCUCCGACUUCUCCGUCAGUAGGCAGGUCAUGGCACGCGUCAGACAUCGCCAGCGUCAGACAUCACCAGCUCCUCGUCGGCUUCCCCUGCCCGCGCCUCUGCUCUCUCAUGUCUACCCUGAGGGGACUCACAUCGUCAUCCCCUGGUUCAAGAGGCCCAUCAUCUAUGAUGUCCGUGCGUGACCUAACCUUGUCGAGAGCACCUCCGAGAGCCGGGAUCUCCAGAUGACUUGUGGUGAAGAAGAGCAAGGCCAAGAAAGACUCCAACAAGCCCAAGCGCCCCCUGAGCGCCGUCUUAGUCCUCAUGUAGAGGCUGAUGGCGAGACGGAGGCGCGCCCUGAUUUGCUCGUGCAAGCCCAAACAGGGAUCUCGCCGUGGCAAUGCCACAGCCGCGGCACGAGCUAGAUCACCAUGGCGAUGCACAUCACAAGACCCCGCUGUUGGAUUCAUUUCUCUGCAGGUCACACUGUUGUUUUGCUGUGGUUGAUAAACCUGAGACUUCUUUCUAUUCUUCAAGACAAUUUUGUUUAGGCCAGCCAUGGAGCAGAAAGAAUGGACAUCGCUACUUCAGCAAGAGGGAAGAGCCGAAGGGGCCAUGAUGCUUACCUUGUUGGAGCGCAUCAACCCCGACCAUGGCACCACAUUCACAGUCUUGAGGUAGCCGUGCUGCAACUGCAUCAACGCUAUCUUCUCUGACUAGAUAAGUCUUUGGUCUAUCCCAUUAUUUUCUUUUGUUCUUUGUUCGAUGGGCCAUGAUGCCAUGACAUAUACUAUUGUGUUGAUUCCCUAUGUGAUGCAGAAGCUAUGGUGUUUUGUUUUAAGUCUGUUGUAGAUUGUAAUUGAUACUGAUUUGUGUAAAAUUUGGUGUAGAACAUAUGUCUUGUUAUCUUAAAUCGUUUGUGUCGUGCUCAAUGAACCA
This is a long non-coding RNA of Triticum aestivum (bread wheat), 1417 nucleotides long. RefSeq lists it as uncharacterized. The transcript is spliced from 7 exons. Lineage: Eukaryota; Viridiplantae; Streptophyta; Magnoliopsida; Poales; Poaceae. The record is from RefSeq and is a predicted model, not a curated record.